UUUUUCAUAGAUAAUUUUCUUAUCUUUCACUCUCUCUAUAUACAUCUCUCCUCUUUCUCUCUCCACAUAUCUGUUCUUUCUCUCUCUACAUAUCUCUCAUAUUUCUCUCUCUACCCGAACCACCGUCACCAUCAAAUACUUCCACCGGAACCACCGUAAUGACAUCGGAACUACCUAACGUCGCCGGAAUCACCGUAAUGACUCCGAAACCAACCUAAUUUCGUCGGAAUCAUCGAGCUGCUUCUUCACACUCUCUGGAUCUGUUUGGUUUCCCGAUAUCAAUUCCCGAUCUCCAGCUCCACUUAUUGCCAUCUUCUUCCUUUAGCAACCACCUCCUCUACCUCUUCACUUACCGGCAUCUCCCUCGCCUCCCUCUGUUUGAGGUAACAGUAGAAGAAAGGAGUGCCACUAGGUCGUUUCACCUGCCACAGUUACCACCUUCGUUCUCUGCGACAAUCUGCUCCAGCAACUUCCUUUGACCUUUGGCCACCGUGACCAACUUCCCAAACUCAAUGUCCACCAGAAUCCACAUGUGGUUCCUCGAAAGAAGUGAAGUAGAAGAGGAUCCAAGUUUUGAAUGCCUACAUGUCUCAGAGGUAGAAAUCUCCACCAUAAUCAGAUACAAUCGCGUUGGACAUAAGAUUGAGGAAAUCUGACCGCCUCAUUUUUAUUCCAGGAGCUGGAAAACAAUAGCUGUAUUGUUCAAUCGAUCUUACAAGGGUUAUAUGACUCGAUCAAUGAGCAUAUCAGCUGAUGGACUCCUAUUUCCUAGAUGAGUGGUGGCGAUGAGAUCGAAAGUAGAUGUGGCCUAGGUUUUUCAUCGACAAUUGGUAUGGUGUGGGUGCGGAGGAAACAGGAAGCUACACGAGAACAAAGAACUCAAGAAGUUCGUGGAGCGUUCGAGUCUCACGUUUCUUUAUUUUCUGGUUCCCAAUAUGGUGUUGCUGCUGCGACAUGGAUUUUAGUCUCGAGCUUCAUCGGAGAAGAAAGAUCGCCAGAUAGGGAGCAUCGGUCGGAGAUGAAGAUAACAUUGGAAGAUUAUUUGUGUUGGAUGCGUUUUUCUGGAAAUGAAUUGUGUCGACGUUUAAUAAGGAGGUAAGACGUAAUUUCAAGUUAAUAGUUAGGUCAAAUAUUAUUUGGGCUUAAGUUAAAGCUAAGUUUUGGGCUAUCUAAUUAGUUUAGUAUUUUUAAAACCAAACAUCUAUUUCUUUUGCAUAUUGGAUUCAUCUAAUUAAUACCUUAUUUAAUUUUUGAGAAAUAGAUAACGCAAAAUUAUAUAGAUUAAAAGGAUAUUAGUUUAUAAGAAUGUAUUUUAUAAAUAGAACACAACUUUUCAACAACAUUUUGUAUCUAUAAAAGAGAUAUCAUAUAAAUAUAAUGAAUAUUUUUUUUAAAUACAUUUAAUCAUUUGUGAUUAAUAGAUAUAAUCAUAUUUGAUUAUAAAUCAUAUGUAAUUAAAAGAUAUAAUGUAACAUCCCAAAAAUACAGUCUAAAAAUUUCGUUUUAAAUUAAUAAUAAAACCAUAGUCAUCGAACAUCAUAUAGAAAUCAUAAACAGUGUAUCUCAAAAUAUCAUAAUAAUUGUCAAAAUAUCAGAGUAUAAACUUCCCAGGCUAAAAAGAUGGUGUGUGCACUGCAAUCUUCCUGAGCUCCUCUUUUGAAAACUGAGUACCUGAAACCAAAACUGAAAUUGUAAGCAUGAAGCUUAGUGAGCUCCCCCAAACUACCACAUACCAUACAAUAACAUAUAAAGCACAUACUGGGUCUUGCUCACUGCAUCAGACCGAAGUCCGGAACUAACUAGGGCCUUGCCCUCUACAUCGGACCGAAGUCCGGAACUGACUAGGGCCUUGUUCUUUGCAUCAAACUGAUGUCCGAAACUGACUAGGGCCUUGCCCACUGCAUCGGACCAAAGUAUGGAACUAACUAGGGCCUUGCCCACUGCAUCAGACCGAAGUCCGGAACUAACUAGGGCCUUGCCUACUGCAUCGGACCGAAAUCCGGAACUAACUAGGGCCUUGCCCACUGCAUCGGACCGAAGUCCGGAUCUGACUGAACAUAGCAUAACAUAAUCAUAACAUAUACAAUAACACAUAUACUGCAUCGGACCGCAGUCCGCAACACAUAACACAUAGACAUGCAUGAAUCACAAAGACAUCAAGCAUACUGAACUACUUCUCGGGACCACCCCAGCAUCGGACCGAAGUCUGGAACUACUGCUAUCUAAUCGGGUCGGCAUUGUGGGUGUAGACCAGUUCCUACUCGAAGGAAACUCACCUCACAUGCUGAAGUCCCGCUGACAAAACCAUAGCUAUUGGAUGACAGAUUCCCGAUCUGUCAAUAUCAAAAUAACACCCAAUUAAUAAUUGGGUUCCAACUCAUAGUCAUAAGUCCAUGCUUGGGUAAGAGAUUACCUUACCCCAAUGUUAGCUUGAAUCAAGCCCAAGGCCCAAUCCAAAGGCCCAAAGGUCUAAUAAUGGACCAAAGCCCAACUAUGGCCCAUUUAUGGCCCAAUUUUCCCAAUUGGGCCCAAAUCUCUACAUGGUCUUGAUCAAAAGCCCAACCAUUUAGUUCAGUCCAACAUUUGGCAUUCUAAUGGCCCAUUAUCAUAUAACCAUCAAGGCCCAAACUAUGACCCAAUUUUCCAAAUUGGGCCCAAACCCUCAUAUGGGCCUUACCCUAAGACCAUUAAAUUAUUCUAAUCCGUUUGCUUGCUCUUGGAUGGUCCAUUAUUAUCCCAAUCACCAAGGCCAAAUAGGAAGGCCCAACUCAAGUCCAAGUGAAAUUAGGGUUUCAGAUAAAAUGACAAUUAAGGUUAAGUGUUUCUCACUUAACUCAUUAAGGACUUAAUCCAUUAAGUCCUGUACUCUACUAGAUAAAUGAUAUGGAAUAAUUUGGGCUUAAUUACACAAUCCAAUCCCAAUGGCCCAAAGGUGGGUCCCAAUAAGUCUAAGGCCCAAAUACUCACAAUUAGGGAUUUCUACCCAAACAUGGCCCAAUAGGCCCAAAAUUAAUCUUUAAGCCGAUUAGGGUCUUGCUAGGUCCAUUAGGGUUUUGCUUGGGGGGCACCACCCACUACCACCUCGGGUAGUGGUGGUCAACGGCGGUUCACGGUGGCGGACACCACCUUACGAUGGUGGUUAUGGUUCUUUUCAUUACAUUUUCUACUAAUUACAAAUACAAGUUUUUAAUCCAUAAAUAAACACACACACACACACACACUAACUACUCUAACACACACACAACCACUCUAGUGGUGGCCGGCGGUGGCUUGUNNNNNNCAGCCACCACCUCACGGUGGUGGUGGUGGCUUUUCCCAUGAACUCCAGCUAGGCAAAACACACACACAUACUUUAGAUUGCACACAACCCUCCAGCCACCCACCUGGUGGCUCAAGGGGACAACAACGAUGAUUUUGGGAUGGCAACCACCACCUCACGGUGGUGGCGUUGGUUUCUGUUGGUUCCUAGACAAGUAGCACCACACCCACGCGACUUCAUUUGCAAGACGCACCCAUCCACCCAACUGGUGGUGUUUGGCAAUGGCAGCAACAACUCAAGCGGCUCAUCGGUGGCAUAACGGUGGCUAACAACGGCGAUGAUGUACAGCUGGACAAGGUGGCAACAACGAUGUACCAUCAGAAAGAAAUGGAGAAAAGAGAAGGCUGAGCGACGGGGAACUGAGCAAGGGAACGCACCUGUAACAUCCCAAAAUUCAAGAGUAAAAAUUUCUUUUAAUAAAACAUUACUUAAAGCAAAAUCAUCAAUCCAAAACAUAAUCAGAGUAUUAAUUUCCAAAAACACAUGUUCGUUAUCAGAGUAAAACAUUCCCAGGCUGUCUAAUCUAUGGUGUGUGCCAUGCGAUCACCCCGAGCUCUUCCCUCCGCUACCGGAAGUACCUGAAACCAAAACUGAAAACCGUAAGCACGAAGCUUAGUGAGUUCCCCNNNNNNNNNNNNNNNNNNNNNNNNNNNNNNNNNNNNNNNNNNNNNNNNNNNNNNNNNNNNNNNNNNNNNNNNNNNNNGGCCCCGCCUGGCUGCGAGCCUCGCUCGGAUACAGAUUUGUUUCACUUAGGCCUCGCCUGUCACUGGGUCUCGCCCGCCAACAUAUAAUAGCACAUAAACAUAUCACAUCACAUAAGCUAAACAUAUACUAACGGAUCCUAUCAUAAGGCCUCGCCUAUCCUGGGCCUCGUCCUUGUCCUGCUACGGAGGAGUCAUGGAACCCCGUCCAUGCUCCUACUGAUAGUGAGAUACGGGCCCAACCCACACUCACUCUUUCCCUAACUUGGGCCUCGCCCUUGAUCUGUUGCUAAUGAGAUGUGGAACACCAUCCACACUCUGCUAUUGGUGAGAUACGGGACCUCGCCCACACUCACCUCCCUACCAGGCACAUACAAGUAUCACACAGACAACAAGUAUAAACUAUCACAUAAACCAUUCCUUGGGCACCCGCCCGCUAUCAUUGGACCUCGUCCCGAAUAUCAUACUAGCAUACUGUGCCUAGGGCUAACCCCCGGGUCUUCUACUCAUAACUACAUGGGCCGGCAUUAUGGCCUUAGACCCAUUCACACAAAGGGAAACUCACCUGCACUUGCUGAACUUGCUGAUAGCCCCUCUAGCCGCUAUCCGACAACUCUUUGAACUCCUGCUCUACUAGCUCCCCGAGCUACCAAUAUCAAAGCAACACUUAGUCUAACUGUCCCCCGAAAGUCAACUAAGUCUCUGGUCAAAGUCAAAGUCCUGGUCAAAGUCAACCUUCUAGGUCAACCCUACUCGCCGAGUCUACCUACUGACUCGCCGAGUUCAUUAACUCAAAAUCCUUUCAUCCGUGACUCGACUCGCCGAGUCUACCGAUUUCCGAGUCCUGACCUGUCCAACUCACUGAGUCCCUACAUAACAGACUGAUCCGAGUCUUAACUCGAAGGGUUUGGGGUUUCGCGUCUCGACUCGCCGAGUCCAAGGCAAUCUUCAACAGACUCGCCGAGUUGUUCUUACAACUCGCCGAGUUCCUGCCCAACUUCAUCCAACUCCCCGAGUCGACCCAUGUGACUCGUCGAGUCGCUCUAGUUCUUAAUCCAUACAGUGGCUUUUCGAGCCAUGCAGGGGCUCCAAAUCAUAGAUCCAUACUUCCAAAACUCAAUCCUCACGUAAAGUUGCAAACUUUACGUAUAACUAAAGAGAUCUUGGCUCAAAACACACUAGGGCUAGGUUUAAGGACAAAAGGGCUUCACCAACUACUCAUCUUCUGAUGCUUUAUGACAUAUUGGACCAUCCCAACACUAGAUCUGAAGUGGCAACAACAUAUCUAAGCCCCCAAACUCGAAUUGGGUCUCAAACAACCAUAAAACCCCCAAAUCUCAUAACAAAAAUAGAUCUAGAUGCAAAGGAUGGAAAAUAGCAGCUUAUUACCUCCAAGAUGAACACAAACUGAAGUAGAUCUCAGAUCUCCACCUCUCCUUUGAAGCAACCUUCUUGAUCUUCAAGUUCCUUUCUAAAGUUUCCUUCCUCCAAAGCUAUUUCUCUCAAAUGGUGGAAGCUCACACGGAAUCUAGGGUUUACAGGUUCUCUAGGAUGAUAUGGAGGCUGAGGGAGGGACAUAACACCCUUUAUAUAGGAUACAACUCCCGGAAUUAGGGGUUUCUUCGUUCAGACCAGACUCGCCAAGUCCCCUUAGCCGACUCGCCGAGUCGGUCACUUACUCCUCGACCCGGAUCCCGCUCGGACUCGUCGAGUUCGUCCUUGAACUCGACGAGUCGGCCCUUUGACUUAGGGUUUCCUUUCCUUUCUUGACCUUCCAGAUUUUGGGUGUUACAGCACCCGAUCACAGCCACCCUCAUAGUGGCCCAUGGCAGUUUUAGGGAAAGCUUCAUCCACAGCCACAACCUCUGAUCGAUAAACUGAUGGUGGCGAUAACUCGACGACAGAAGAAACGGAGACGAGGGGGCGGCGGAAAACGAUGGCAAUAGAACUCAAUAGAACCCACCUUGAUGAACGACUACUUAUUGUCUUCAUCGAACCUCGGUGGUUCUCCGGCAGCAGCGUCGCAAUGACCACCUUCCAUUGUAGUGUAUCUGUCGGCGGUAGGCAUCCCCGUUGAUCGGAAUAGCGAAUAGAAGGGAGGUGGUGGUGGAUGACUUCACUCAUGGCGGCUGGAACCUCUUAGGUUUAGGGUUUGGGAGUAAUAAGGUGACGGGAAGGAAAGGUCACCGGGUAUAUCCGCUCCAAUACAAAUGUCCUUUCACUUUUGUCACAUAUAGCCCCUCCUUAUCAGUUCUUAUUCAAAUUAAGCCCCAAAAUUUACCUUUUAGCCCCCGCCCCCAAGAAUCUAUUCAAUCUAAGUCCAUAAUUUACCAUUUAUACCCUGCCUUAUGAAUUCAAUUUCAUAAUAAAUCCUAAUAAUUACCAAACAUACCCCCACUUCUAAAAUCCUUCUCAAAUUAAAUUCAGGAAUUUACUAAACAACCGCCAACUAUCGAAAUUCUUCAAAAUUUAGUCUGGGAGUUACAUUUAUUAAUUUAUUUGUUUAUUUAUUAAUUAAACGGGGUGUUACUACCCUCCACCACAUAAUUUGGAUUUCGUCCUCGAAAUCAACCUUUAUAAUUCCUCACAUGCCAACCUAAUCAAGUAACCUGGCCACAACCCUGGGCACACCCAAGACAUCUCAGGGCACCCGUGACCAACCCGCGUAGGGUUCUAAAAUUGGUAGAUAAAUGAGUUCCUCGCAACAAGAUCACAUCUACUCCAUCUAAAAUUUGCUGUCUCGAGAUAGUAUGAAUCCCUGACAGACUGCCCAUACUGAAAUCAUUAUCGAUGCACGCAGUCCACUUGUCUCUCAAAUGCUUACUUAACUUCUGAUAACACGAGGUUCCCAUUAGAAACAGAAUCAUAGAUCCCCUUAUCCCUACGAUUCAAUUGUACCUGGCCAACGCUCUGAUAACCCCGCUGUGAGUGACUUAGCAUAACCCAAGCUAUCUGUGAUUCUAACCAUACAUGAAAUCCCAAAAUAACAUUACUGCUGGAGACCUAAAACUGUCUGAAACACUGAACUUCUGGAAACACUGAACUACUACAUGACCAUUGGUAGCCUCAUGUCAUGAAUGACCUUAAGCAGUCCCCUGCUUCCUUGCUCUCAUAACUUUAGUGGCGCUCUGACAGUCUUAUCACCGGUUCAACCAUAUCUAAUCCAUCUAGGUAAUUCCAAAAUCCAAUCCGUAGAUUUCCAUAUCCUCACUGCUACACCCGAACUGGUGGGUACUAUUGUUCCUUCCGCGACCUAACAACGCUCUCACGUUAUCUACCAACCUAGUAAAUGCUUAUGGCUACACCCGUAAACUUAUAACACUCUACCACUAUUUGGCUGCUAGUGAAUGCUAUGACUACACCCACAGACUUACAACACUCUAUCACUAUCUGGCUGCUAGUGAAUGCUACAGCUACACCUGCAGACUUACAACACUCUCCAUACUGGAUCGACACAUGCUUGACCCGCACUCACUUGAACUCAUGUCCUGACUGAAAUCCUCAACCUGAUUCCUUAAGGUUUUCUGGAAAACAUUACGGGAACACCAUCUCCUUAUUGGCAAGUUUUUCCGAACUUCCAUCUCGCACUAUCCUCAAACCAUACCGCUGCUUGGGCUGUCUUCCUUCCUGACAAGGAUACGAAACUUAUCCCAGUUUCAAAGCUUCUCCUACUUCUGAAUCCUUGGAUGAUUCUCCCCCACUUUGAUCCAAAUAACGUCUUACAUCACACAAUACUGGAAGGAUUCUCAAUCCUUCUUAUCAUUCCAUGCCCAAUCUGUUGAAAACCACGUUUACCAUUGCUAGUGUUUCAAUACUAGCCAGUCCAAAAGAUCACACCACCUCCAUGAACCCAAAUAAAUCUCCGGUAAUAACCCGCUAGACCCAGGAAGCUCCGAAUCUCAGUUGGAGACCUCAGAAUCUCCAACUGCAUCCCAGCCUCUAUCUGGGCCGGAUCAACUAGUACACCCUUCUGGUUGACAGGGUGCCCAAGGAGUUGCACUUCACGCAACCAGAACUCACAUUUGGAGAACCUUGCAAAAAAAAUUCUCCCCCUCCUCAAAGUCUCUAGCACCUCCCUCAGGUGCUUCUCGUGCUGCUCCUCAGUCUUGGAAUAAACCAAGAUGAUGUUGUACUCUCCCAAUCCCGCAAUUUGGGAAAUGAUCUUUCGCUAUCCACUAAUAAUUCUCGAUAUGUAGUACGGAUCUCACACACUACAAGUUCCCUGGUCUUAUCUCAUCCUUCCUUGAUUCAAGUACGAAUCCUCUGCUUUCAGUAGUACGGGCCCAUACUGAUGGGUUUUGAGCAUUCUAACACCCCUAAGUAUACAGGAAACCCUAUAAAACCUUGGAUCUAUGUUUGUCUAAAAUACAUGAAAAAUAUGAUUUCCAAGGUUCAUAAUCCUAUCUAGCAUACAUGGGGAACUUUUAAUCUAAAAGAUGGCUAGAAUUACAUACCUUGUAGUUGAUUUGAUUCCUUAGAAACCUUGAGAUCCUAGCACCCCAAGUGUGAUGCCUUAAGUACUUCACACAACACCAAAUGCUUUAGAAUAACUUUAGAGUAUGUAUAACACUUGUAUAAAUUGGCUUGCCCUCUCUUGUUCUUAGUGUCAAGUCACUACUAGAAAAACAGCCUUUUACGACGCUCAUUGUGCGUCGUAAAAGGCUUAGACGACGCGCAAAUGCGCGUCAAGGAAGGCCUUGUCAUAAAGAGAGACGAAGCGCAUUUGCGACGCUCAUUUACGACGCACAAUUAUGACGCACGUUUACAACACGCAAUGCAUAUCAAGGAAGGCCCUGUCAUAAAGGAAGACGACGCGCAUUCGCGUGUCGUGACCUUACGACGCGCGUGUUAAUGACACACAAUGCGUAUCAAGAAAGCCCCUGUCAAGAAAGGCCAUGCAUAAAUUAAGAUGACACACAUUUUUUGCAUAUCGUAAAUUUAAAUGUUUAAAAAAAAAUUAUAUAUUUAUUAAUUUUUAAAUUAAAUUUGCAUUUAGUUUCUCAUAAUAGAAAUAAAAUACCAUAUACAAAAAAUACAAUCAAUUGCAUAAUAUAAAAUAAAAUUUCAUACUCAAACAACAAAAUAAAUUGCACAAAUUAUAAUGUCAUACAAAGAAUCAUUCAAAUGUUAAACAAAAAUAAUGCAUUGCUACAUGGGUUAUACAUUCCUAUAAAACUAACAAAUAAUCAUACAACUCUGUUUCUUACUGGAAAGGAAUGCCAAACAUGAUUACAAGUCUCCCUUAAUCUUGAUUACUCACCUGCUUAAGUAGAAUGCUAUUAUUGAGAAGGUUACCUAGCAACAGAGAAAAUCACAACGCCUCUCCCACAAUCACAACAUCAUUUACAGAAAAGGGUUGUCAAUUACUUUCAUUAAUAAUUUCAUUCAAUCACAAAAAUAUUAAAUAAAAGGGUGAAAAAAAUAACUUACUUUUGAUAAGUUGAUCUCCCUUAGAGCAAACACAGCUAAAGCAUUGAACAAGACCCUAUUUCAAAAUUUUGUAAAUACACAAAUCAUGAUACCUGAUACUGGAAUACACACUUUGAGACAUGAAUUAAUACGAGUAGAUUAACCUGGAUACAUAGGAAGUAAAGAUGGAAGGUGCCAGAACUCCGGGGGCAUUGGGUUGGUUCCUUCCCACUCGCACACACCAAGCCAGAACUCCACUUAAUCCAACACCAAAAU
This 9705-nucleotide long non-coding RNA is filed under the name Lactuca sativa (garden lettuce). RNAcentral describes it as "long non-coding RNA (LSAT_LNC009496)". The record is from RNAcentral. Lineage: Eukaryota; Viridiplantae; Streptophyta; Magnoliopsida; Asterales; Asteraceae.